RNAcentral lists this long non-coding RNA (203 nucleotides) under Elaeis guineensis (African oil palm). RNAcentral's name for it is "long non-coding RNA (EGUI_LNC019461)". Lineage: Eukaryota; Viridiplantae; Streptophyta; Magnoliopsida; Arecales; Arecaceae. The record is from RNAcentral.
AUCCAUAGCUUUGUGAGACGGAGAUUGAUGAUUUUCUUUUCUCUUGAAGAAAACUGUCAUUUCUAAUGGGAUUCGAUUGCGGUACUGGAAAAGUCAUCUCUGAUCUCAAAAAUCUCUAUAGUCUUUUGCAAAAUUUUCUAGCUUAAUAUCUGAUCUUCCAACAUUUUUAAAUCUAAUCACUGGCUGUCGCUAAGUAUGACGUC